This is a long non-coding RNA of Columba livia (rock pigeon), 528 nucleotides long. RefSeq lists it as uncharacterized. The transcript is spliced from 3 exons. The record is from RefSeq and is a predicted model, not a curated record. Lineage: Eukaryota; Metazoa; Chordata; Aves; Columbiformes; Columbidae.
GUUGGGCGCGUGCGCAGUGGCCAUCUCGAGGCAGCGACUGGCGGUAGCGUUUGCACGGCUGCGGCGGGGCCGGACGCCCUGGCUGUUAUCGCGUCUUUCUUCUUAUCGGGUCCUAUUGGGGAUUUGAGUGUGUAGAUAUGAACGUCGUAACGGGCAGUGGUUCGGUCUCCCGUUCCCCGUCCCGCGCUCCGGGGUGCGAGCUGGGCUUUGGCAGUUCUCUCAUAUAAGUCAUGCUCCUGUGACACGUGGUUGCCCUUCUAGCAUGAAAAGGAACGGAGGGUCUUGCUGGCACCCCACAAUGUGAGGCUAAUUUGCUUCUUGCCAAUUGCUAUGCCAGGGAAAUGUUUAUGCUGCGAGUAUAAGGGAAACAACCACAGGGAGAAGCUAUUCACAGCCAACCAGCAUCUGCUGUGUGGACUCACCUCCGUUUACUGAAAUCAGUGCACUGGCAAGGGCUUGACUUGUGUCAUCCCCCAAGGUGAUGUUUACACAGUAUGUUCCAGGUUCUUCAAAAGCUCUCCUUAUGGU